AGUGAACGCUGGCGGUAGGCCUAACACAUGCAAGUCGAACGGCAGCACAGUAAGAGCUUGCUCUUACGGGUGGCGAGUGGCGGACGGGUGAGGAAUACAUCGGAAUCUACUUUUUCGUGGGGGAUAACGUAGGGAAACUUACGCUAAUACCGCAUACGACCUACGGGUGAAAGCAGGGGAUCUUCGGACCUUGCGCGAUUGAAUGAGCCGAUGUCGGAUUAGCUAGUUGGCGGGGUAAAGGCCCACCAAGGCGACGAUCCGUAGCUGGUCUGAGAGGAUGAUCGGCCACACUGGAACUGAGACACGGUCCAGACUCCUACGGGAGGCAGCAGUGGGGAAUAUUGGACAAUGGGCGCAAGCCUGAUCCAGCCAUACCGCGUGGGUGAAGAAGGCCUUCGGGUUGUAAAGCCCUUUUGUUGGGAAGGAAAAGCAGCAGGUUAAUACCCUGCUGUUCUGACGGUACCCAAAGAAUAAGCACCGGCUAACUUCGUG
Molecule: ribosomal RNA, 492 nt
Filed under: uncultured bacterium
Lineage: Bacteria
Description: partial 16S ribosomal RNA
Rfam family: Bacterial small subunit ribosomal RNA
Source: RNAcentral